Larimichthys crocea (large yellow croaker) is the source of this 816-nucleotide long non-coding RNA. RefSeq lists it as uncharacterized. Lineage: Eukaryota; Metazoa; Chordata; Actinopteri; Sciaenidae. The record is from RefSeq and is a predicted model, not a curated record. The transcript has 3 exons.
GGUGACAUGCAGCCAUAAACCAACUUUGUCUGUUUGUCUUCCUCUUUUGUUUAGCUAUCUGUAUUGACGUUGAAGAAUAUCUAUUGGUUCUAUAAUCAAAUUUGCUGUUGUAGUCCCAGUUAAGAUCAAUAAUGGGGUGUGUAUAUACCUCUGUGUUUAAUUAUCAGGCUUAAAUACACAAUAUAGUUUUACUAUACUCCCCUCUGCUGGUGGUAGCGGUGACAUGCAGCCAUAAACCAGGUGAAGCUCAUAGUGACUAAUGUACUGCUCUGUACCUCGAGAUGAACUUGUUUCUGAACAGAAGUAUAUGUAGUGUCCAGUGUUGCAUAUAAUCUUUUUUUAAUGAUUCAGCUCACAUUUUCUGUGGAUGCAGAGGCUGCGAAAGAAAAUGUAUAGACAGCAUCAUAUAGCUUUCUAUUUGUCUAUCUGUCUGUCUUCCUCUUUCAUUCAGAUGGGUUUUUUUUUUUUCAGCUUCUACAGAAUUCGGUUUUCAGCAGGUUUCCUCACUUGCUUUUGUCCUGUUGUCAGGGCCGCCCCUGGCCAAAUUGGGGCCCUAAGCAGAUUUUUAUUUUGCAUGUAGGGAGGGGCGACGCUGCCUGUUGUCACAUCAGCUGCACACUACUGUAUUCUCGUCAGAUUAAAUCAUUUUCACAGGAACUCAGCAACACGAAAAGGAUGAAGUGGUGGCUCCUGGUCCUUUCUUUGGUGUGUCACAAGAUCACCUGUAAAAAUCAUCAUGUCACUCCCAACAGUCAGAGUAAAGGUCAAAAUAAUCGCGUAGAAGGGAAUACGGCAAAUCCUGGCAAAUCCCAAGGC